This 490-nucleotide ribosomal RNA is filed under the name uncultured bacterium. Its description in RNAcentral is "partial 16S ribosomal RNA". It matches the Rfam family "Bacterial small subunit ribosomal RNA", at positions 29 to 523 of the family's 1533-position model. The record is from RNAcentral.
AAUGAACGUUGGCGGCGUGGAUUAGGCAUGCAAGUCGAGCGAGAAGAGUUUGGUAGCUUGCUAUUGAACUCGGACAGCGGCGAAAGGGAGAGUAACGCGUAGUUACGUGCCCCAGGGUUCGGAAUAGCCACGGGAAACUGUGGGUAAUGCCGAAUAACAUCUCCGGAUCAAAGGUGUGAUUCCGCCCUGGGAGCGGACUGCGUCCUACUAGCUAGUUGGCGGGGUAAUGGCCCACCAAGGCGACAAUGGGUAGCGGGUGUGAGAGCAUGACCCGUCUCACUGGGACUGAGACACUGCCCAGACACCUACGGGUGGCUGCAGUCGAGAAUCUUCGGCAAUGGGCGAAAGCCUGACCGAGCGACGCCGCGUGCGGGAUGAAGGCCCUCGGGUUGUAAACCGCUGUCGUAGGGGAGGAAGGCUCCGUGAAGAACGGGGUUUGACCUAGCCUAGGAGGAAGUACGGGCUAAGUUCGUGCCAGCAGCCGCCGUAA